GAAGCAUAUUCAGGUAACAUGUUCGUAAAUAGUCCACGACAUUUUUCAAUGAAAUAUUUUUAUCCCUAAAGUAUUAUUGAUGAAAGUAAUAAAUAUGUAGCUGCAUCGUUACGCUUGCAAAGGAUAUAAUACCAAAUUGCAAUACUUACUUAGAUCAGCCUGUAUGAUCGAAUAAAAGUUUACACACGUUUCUAAAUAAAAUUUCAGUAAUGUUUCCAAGAAGGCAAAAGAUUUGAAUACACUUGUACCGUAUUGGACACAGUAGCAAAGUCGAGGUAUACUAGCUGUUUCCCUUUAGCCAUAUAACAUUCGCACCACUGUUAUCACCGUAUUACAGGUUUUACGAAAUAACAGCUCAAGACUCGCGUAAUGCACGUGAACAUCGGCCCAACGGCCGACCAACGAUUCAAGGAGAACUAGUAUUUCAUUGAUAACUCACCCCGUGUCCCGACCUUUACGACCACCACACUGUACGUACACUGUUGCACGCGCAUACCCGCCAGGCAACGUCCAAUGAUUUGUGUAUCGACAGUCGUCAGUAUUAAUGCCAUUUGUGUGCAAUUAUGUUAGUUAUUAUGUCAAACAACUUACCUUUCGCGGCUCGUUUCAACACGUUUUCAGCAUUAUGGCAUUGCGACUUGAAAACGACACCAGAUACCCGAUGAAAUAGCUCGCGGCCAACAACACGAUUGCGUUGGGUUCCAGAUUGGAAUUAGAAGUUUGAUUUCCUUUUCCUAAAUCACAACCGUUAUUUCCACAUCUUAAAACAAGAAGCCACGAUGUUUUCCUUUUACAUUUUGAGAAUUGAUCUUCAUAAAUUAGAGACAAAGAUGUUGAAAUCCAUGGAAUUCGACACAGUGGGGACACACCUUAACGUUACAGCGUAUCCAAUAAUCGAAUAUCAUCAUCGACAGCGAUACACUGGUAUUUAUACCAUUCACGUUCCCAUUUCAUCAUCACUUAAUUAUUGGAGUUACUUGAUCGUGCUUGCCAUGCCGGUUGAAAUAGUAUUGAGAAGUAACGCUAGAUAACGCGCCUCUAUUGAUUUGUCAGUUGGGAUAAUGGAUUUCAAUGCAUAACACAGAAUCCCAUGGAACGCGAGCGUGUGGUUGCCAGCCACAGAUUAAUACGGCUAUCGCGGAACGACAGGUAUUCCAUAUGUAUCUGGUAUUUCGUAAAUGUUAAUAUAACUUGAUCGUAUCCCGAUGCGAAUGUAAAUGCACCGGACAUGGUGCAGUCUCUUAACCCUUAAAUGCAUACUGUCUCUAUUUGGCAUAUUUAAAUGGCCUUUCUUAUAUACAUACCGUGUAAUACUUAUUGCAUGGUGCUUUCGAAUGUAUUUAUUACUAUUUUAAUACUAUUAAUAUGUUCAUAAUAUAGCAAGAAAUUUAAAAAGUAUCUACUUGUCUUGAUACAAGGCAACUUGCGCUUUAUCAUAAAAGAAAGGAUAACGGUUAUAGUAAAAUUGCACAAGUAUUGGAAUUAAUUGUAGCAGAUCUUAGUAGAAGAUGCGAAGAAAAAUAUCUAGCGUGUAAUUAACGAUAGAGCUAACAAACUCGUCAAAAUGAUGGAUUUCAGGUUUUCUUUUUGUACACUUUGUGAUGUAGGUAUUUUAGCCAAAUUUAAUAUUGGUUUUUGUUUAUAUGGGAUCAGAAUUAUAUCGGUUUAUUUACUUUAAUUAAUAUCACUCAAAUUAUACUAAUUUAUAUAUAUGUAGAACACGUAGUGCAUAUUACAGACCGAUAAUUCUAACGUUAAACGUUACUCUUAGGAAGAAACUGUUUCCAUAUGUAUUUGUAAGCUACGACAAAUCUUCGGAAUAUUUAAUUUGAUCGUGUAUUCACCGUAUGUUAGUUUCUUCUCUCAAGUGUAUAAGAAUACCAAACAUAAAAUACACGUUAAAAAUUAUUUUUGUAUGACUGCAAUAUUGGCAAUUUUCUGUAUUUUAUAUUUGAGGAGAGUCAUGCAUUUAAGAGUUCAAAUUUCGCAUAACAUGUCAAUGUACCAAAUGAUCGGUCGUUUUAUGAUACAAUUUCAUGCGAUUGGGAUAUAAAGGAAUGGAGUUUUCGAUGAAUUCAACGCCGUUCAUUUCAACGAGUUAAAGAGGAAGCGAACGGGGUAACGCAACGCUGGGGAAUUACGUUAUAACAAGAUUAAUAGUUAACGGCUUUCUGAUCACGAAACAUUCGAUUUAUAUUACAAAUGCGAGUUACACGAUCGGAAUGUCGAUUCCAUGAAGUUGUUUCAUUCUUGUCAACGAAGGGUUGGAUUGGGUAUCCGUUUUCGCUGUAAUGCGGAACAGGAAGGCAACAUUCUAAUUAUAGUAUUAAAUAUCCUGAGAUACGUAAAACGCUUUCGCAUAUCGCUCGAGUAUCGUAUCAAAUUAUACCUCACAAUUACUGUAUUAACGGUAAUUAAUUGUCUACGGUGGUUAUACGUUUAAUAGGGUACGUGACCAUCGUCUACGUCUUAUUCUCAUCCACUCGUGUGCAGGUUUUGCGUUAUAAACGCAUUAAAGCCUAUUGAAAUUACUGAAUGAAGUAAGUUAAUGUACCACAAGGAACAAGGAAGGAACGUAAUUCAAAGCUUGCACGUUGAUCAUUCACCUCCGAGUUUCAUCAUAUUGAACUAUUCUUCAGUUGACAUAUUUGUGACUUUUCGGCUUUUCGUCGCGUUUUUAUAUCGUAUUUUGUUCUGGAAAUCCCAAUUCACUUCUUCAGUCUUCCCCAGUCCACCUGUAGAAUCACAAAUACAGCGGGGGAUAAAGAUAAAUUAUUUGGCAAACAAUUGAAAUUGCGAGCGAUUUAUUCAGCAAAUAAUACAUGCCAUAGCGGUUUAUUUAGCAAAUAAUACAUGCAAUAGCGGUUUAUCCAGAAAAUAAUAAACGAUACACGAGAUAUAAUUAAUGAAGGAAACUAUGGCCAAUACAACCUAGAACUUAAGCGUAACGUGUGACAGUAAUAUGCUGUUGAAGAACGUGCUCGACCACCCGACGACUGGUUACCAAAAAGAAAAUGACUAACUCAACGAAAUACACCUUACAUCAGCGUUCUACUUCUUAUCGCUAUUAUACCAUUUGUCAUAAACCAUUUAUUUACCGUAGA
Bombus pascuorum is the source of this 3104-nucleotide long non-coding RNA. RefSeq lists it as uncharacterized. The transcript is spliced from 5 exons. The record is from RefSeq and is a predicted model, not a curated record. NCBI's taxonomy places the organism in Eukaryota, Metazoa, Arthropoda, Insecta, Hymenoptera, Apidae.